GAAGGGUCUGCAGGUGCGGGGGCCGCCCCGCACCUGUCCAGCACCAGCCCAGUCCUGUCCGGUCCUGAGCAAGAGGAGGAGGCCUGUCACCACCCCCCGCACCGGGGCAGCUGGACCCCUCAGCCGUCCUCAAGUCAAUCGAUUAAUCAAUCAAUCACUAGGGCAUGCUGCUUCUCACCCGCUCCCUGACCCAGCCAGGCUAUUAUCCGGGCCCAGACCACCAGCAGCGGGAAGGAGGGAUUUUCUCAGGAUGGCACUGAUGUGCUUCAGUGUCCUCAUUUGACAUUGGCUGCUGUUUUAAAAGGCAAAUUAAAGACGCUGGAAAAGAAGGAGCCAGAUAAAACAAAACUCAGAACCGUUCUAGAGGAAUGGAGUAGCUGAUAGUAAUGACUUCAAGGCCGGCUCUGCUCUUCAACAACGAAAAAAAAGCAAGGACUAGGCGAAUUGAGAAAGCUUUCAUUCACUGAAGUGGAAAGGAAAAUAAAUUAAGUCUUUUAACCUCCAAGUGAGGGGUUUACUUGUGUAAUCCAGGAGAAAAUAGGUUUUGUUGCCUGAAUGAUCUUCUUGAAUAAUCUACUUUUAUCCAUUUUGCUGUAGUUUAUGACUAAAGAGAAUCCCAACGACCAAAUCUUUCCUUAAGCAAAGGUAUAUAUUGUUCCUCAGGGAAAUGUUGCCCUAGAUUUAAUAUGCUGACUGCUUAUGUUUACCACCAAAGUGUUAACUAGUAUUCAUGUUCAGUUUGCAGUGUUCAAAGCACCAUCCCAGAAAAGACAUUUUUAAGAUAAAAAUAAUCUGAAGAAAUGAUUUUAGACAAUUAAAGUAUAGCAUUUCAAAACUUCAUUUAUUUCAUGGAUUUCAUGACAAUAUUUCAUUUGUGUUUUAGGACAUUUUUUCUUUCUAGCUGUCAUGACUUUUCACAGUCCCAUCACUAGACCUCACAACACUGCAAGGCCAAUGUUUAAAUAACCUCUCUUGUUCCCAUUAAUUCACUAUAAAAAAAGCUCCAUAAAAACAUUUCUGUUGAUAUUAGUUUUUGUAAACCUUGGCCUUUGCUUUUUUAUUCUCCAAAACUAAACUUGGAGCACUGACUAAU
Molecule: long non-coding RNA, 1093 nt
Organism: Ornithorhynchus anatinus (platypus)
Lineage: Eukaryota; Metazoa; Chordata; Mammalia; Monotremata; Ornithorhynchidae
Exons: 4
Source: RefSeq, a predicted model, not a curated record